AUUCUACCGUCACAAUAUUUUUUACUAUAUUGAUUUUAACCUUGACUUUCUUUAUGCAGGUUUUCAUAUUAUUAUUCUACUGUCACAAUAUUUUUUACUAUAUUGAUUUUAACCUUGACUUUCUUUAUACAGGUUUUCAUAUCAUCAUCUUACUGUCACAAUAUUUUUACUAUACUGAUAUUAGCCUUGACUUUCUUUAUGCAGGUUUACAUAUUAUCAUCCUACUGUCAUUUUUUUAUCUCUGAAUGUUUUUUUUUU
Eriocheir sinensis (Chinese mitten crab) is the source of this 258-nucleotide long non-coding RNA. RefSeq lists it as uncharacterized. The transcript is spliced from 2 exons. Lineage: Eukaryota; Metazoa; Arthropoda; Malacostraca; Decapoda; Varunidae. The record is from RefSeq and is a predicted model, not a curated record.